RNAcentral lists this ribosomal RNA (496 nucleotides) under uncultured bacterium. Its description in RNAcentral is "bacterial SSU rRNA". It matches the Rfam family "Bacterial small subunit ribosomal RNA", at positions 29 to 518 of the family's 1533-position model. The record is from RNAcentral.
AUGAACGCUAGCGACAGGCCUAACACAUGCAAGUCAGGGGCAGCACAAGGAGCAAUCUGAGGUGGCGACCGGCGCACGGGUGAGUAACACGUAUGCAACCUGCCUGUAAGCGGGGAAUAACCCGUUGAAAGACGGACUAAUACCGCAUAAUACUAAAUUACUGCAUGGUAAUUUAUUUAAACAUUUAUGGCUUACAGAUGGGCAUGCGCAUGAUUAGCUAGUUGGAGAGGUAACGGCUCCCCAAGGCAACGAUCAUUAGGGGUUCUGAGAGGAAGGUCCCCCACACUGGUACUGAGACACGGACCAGACUCCUACGGGAGGCAGCAGUGAGGAAUAUUGGUCAAUGGACGAGAGUCUGAACCAGCCAAGUCGCGUGCAGGAAGAAUGUCCUUAAUGGAUUGUAAACUGCUUUUGCGAGGGGAAUAAAGUGCAUCACGUGUGAUGUUUUGUAUGUACUCUGCGAAUAAGGAUCGGCUAACUCCGUGCCAGCCGCUGC